Molecule: ribosomal RNA, 301 nt
Filed under: uncultured bacterium
Lineage: Bacteria
Description: partial 16S ribosomal RNA
Rfam family: Bacterial small subunit ribosomal RNA
Source: RNAcentral
CAGCAGCCGCGGUAAUACGUAGGGCGCGAGCGUUGUCCGGAAUUAUUGGGCGUAAAGGGCUUGUAGGCGGUUGGUCGCGUCUGCCGUGAAAUCCUCUGGCUCAGCUGGGGGCGUGCGGUGGGUACGGGCUGGCUUGAGUGCGGUAGGGGAGGCUGGAACUCCUGGUAUAGCGGUGGAAUGCGCAGAUAUCAGGAGGAACACCGGUGGCGAAGGCGGGUCUCUGGGCCGUUACUGACGCUGAGGAGCGAAAGCGUGGGGAGCGAACAGGAUUAGAUACCCCUGUAGUCCCUGUCUCUUAUAC